This 5971-nucleotide long non-coding RNA is filed under the name Heterocephalus glaber (naked mole-rat). Its description in RNAcentral is "lncRNA (ENSHGLG00000041893.1)". Lineage: Eukaryota; Metazoa; Chordata; Mammalia; Rodentia; Bathyergidae. The record is from RNAcentral.
GCUCCCUGAGCCUCUGGCUCCUGUAAGCCAGAUCUCCAGGCCCAGGCAGGGUCUGAGGGCUGUGGGGUGCAGGACCAGCCCUCCCCUCAGGCUUGUUUCUGAGCUGCCCCACAGUGUGGUGUCGGGUCACAGUACCUGACACACCAGCCCCUGGAAAACACACCCCACGCUCCACCUGGAACUACUGCAGUGCUUCAGACAGGAGCAGGGCUUCUGUGUUUGGACAAACAGGAGAAGAUGCUGACUUCUUAAUGGGACUCAGUGGAAACUUGCAGUGUGACCCCUCCGUCUUUCCAAGUUGCAUCCCAUGUCAGAGGCCAGCACUUAGCCCACCGCAGUGAGCACCUGGAGCCACACAGUGGCCGGGCUUGAGAGGCAGGGAAGGCUGGGGUUCUGGGGAUGCGGCCCCAGGAAGCAGGCCACACUCACGGUGCCCCUGGGAGCUGUAAGCGGGUGACCGCAUGGCCCUUCCUCUCUCUCCCUCCCUCUGUGCAAUACCUCUCCCUUUUCUGACAGCGUACUUACUUAUGCUCUGACUCCGACACCCAGUUGUCCCAUUUGUGAAGGAGGGAGGCGGGAGCAGGUUGGUAGUGACCUUUGCGAUUGUUCACAAAGACACAACCUGGACCGAUGCCAGGGUGAGCAUGUCCACCCCUGCAGGCUGCCCGUGCCUUGGCCCGCUCCUGGGAGCCAUUCUGGAAGGUGGUUCCUGAGUCGUGGGCAAAGAACGCCCAGUGCAGAGUGACGCCCUUCCCCACUGCUGUGUGACCGGGCCUGGCCCAGAGCAGAGCUGCCGUGUGAGCCUGGCAUCACCUCACCACGCUGGCCCAGCGGGCAAGGACCUUGCACUUUCGAGGCAGGCGGUGGAACCACUGAGCUACAUUCCCAGCUCAGGAAUUUGUCUUCCUUUCUGAGGCGUCUCCACACUGAUCUCUGCAGUGUUGUACCUGCGUACUCCCCCACCCGUGGGGAAGGCCCCUCGCCAGCGCCUUGUUACUGCUGGGUUUCUUGAAGAUGGCCCUGCCCUCUGGGGAUGGUGGGACUGCGGUGCUGCCUUUAAUUUAAUCCCUUAUUCUCAGCGUUGCUGUUUACUCCCUUCAAGUCCUGAACUCACACAGGUAGUUUCAAAGUUGCCAACCCUUUGUGCCAUGAAAAAGAAAACCUACUGGAGUUGAAGCUCAGCACUUUUCCUUUUGGGGAGAGGUGGGCAGGCAGGGAGAGGCGGGGCUGAGUGAGUCUGUGGCACAGAUGCCCACACCGCCCACCGGGCCUCCGCUCUUCGGCCCUGCCACGGGAAGCCCUGCGUCUGCGCUUUCCAGCCCUCCCUGCUGUCGGGGCUCAGCCAGGGAGGCUGUUGGCAGCCCCUUUAUCAGGAGGUGGGAAUGCCUGGGGCCCAGGCAAUGGGACAUCAAAUGUCCUUGACGGAGAAAGGGUAAUUUCAUCCAGGUUCCUCAAACACUCGGAAUGGAGCCAGCGUGUGGCACGCUGCAGUUGGCUUCUGGGUGCUCACAUCCAAGGCUGCGGAGCUGGUGUGGCAAGGAGACACCUACACGCCACGUCCACCACAGCUGAGGAAAAACAGUGCACCCAGGCAUGCCCCACCAAUGAGCGUGUGAAGGGACAGUGGACGCGCAUGGCAGCAUGCCGUGAGCCUCACAGAAGAGGGAAACAUGUCCUUUCUGACACACAGGUGAAUCUGGGCGAUGUUAAGUAAGACACACCAAGCAACAACAACAAUACCUGUGUGUGUGCGGUGCUGGGGACUGGACCCAGGACCUUCACACUGAGCUACAUCCCCACCUUUUCAUUUUCUGUUUUGAGACAGGGUCUCGCUAACUUGCUCAGUUGCCCAAGCUGGGCUCAAACUUGCCAUCCUCCUGCCUCUGCCUCCCAGUGCUGGGAUGACAGGCGUGCACCACCACACUUAGUUCCUGCUCUAACUUUUCAACAAAAUCCAUUACACUGUAGGAAAAGGUAAAAGAAAACUACGCGAUGGCUUUCUGGAUCUUUGUGUUCUAAACGCUGCCCUAACUUCUUGGAGAAGGCUUGUCGGUCAGUCGGGACUCAAGAAAGCCCUGGGCCUCCCAGGAGGCGCCGCCCCUCCUCGGCCCCAUGCACUGGCCUUGGGGAACCCUUCGGGUUGCCCAGACGCGAGGAUGGGGCUCCUCCUCCUCCACAGGCCCAGCACUGCCUCUGCUGAGGGUAGAUUUUGUUGGAUUCAUAUGCUUGUAGAAAGCAUAGAGAUACAAGUUUAGAAGGAGAAGCAGUCACAGUGGGAACAAGGAGAAGCGAGGAGAGAGGCCGCUUCCCUUGCUGGAGCCGGAGCUCGAGGGCCUUGGUUCCCAGCGCCUCUCCCGAGAGUUACACCUGCAUCAGCUGCUCCUAGGCUCAGACCCUGCCUUGGCCGUGGACCCUCCCUGCCCUUGCACUCUCCCCUCUCUCCGUGAGAUUUGUGACGGGGCCUCAGGCUGACGGCCAAGUUAGCAAGUAUUAAGAGGUACGUGCGCAUGUCAGUGCAUUCACAUGCUGAGAGAAUAAUAAAAUACAGGGCCGGGAUUUAGCUCAGUGGUCAUGCCUGCCUUGCAAGCACAAGGUCCCCAGUUCGAUCCCCGGUACCCAAAGAAACCAACAACAUACCUGCAUUUAUACACAGGUGCCUGAGCAACCAGGCACAAAUGUACAGCUGCCCCUGAAGUGUGUUUCCCUGCAAUUCAGCCUGUCCACUGCGGCCCCUCUGCACCUGGCUGGAGCCCAGAGGAGGACCUGGGCCUGCGACACCCUGCUCAUGCUCCGCCUGUCCUGCUCCCUCCAGGUCAGGGGUUUGCCGAGUCCUUCCCUUCCCUGCCCUGACCCCUGCCCUGACAAAGCCCUCCCGACGGAUGCAGGUGCCGGUAGAUAAAGGACAGGGACUGACGAUGUCUUACUGCAUCUGUGCACAUUUUAGUCAGUUCACCAAGCACCUCCCAGGCCGCAGGGCCCAGCGGGGCUGCGCUCCUGCCUGGCCCUACUGGUCCCAGUCCUUGACGAUGCUCAGGACGCCCCGCUCAGGGGCGGGGCCUGCCAGCCUGGCCAGCACGUCCAGCCCUCCGUGCUCCUUCUCCCUGGAGGACACAAAGUGGGCAGCUCCUGCACCCGGACCCCGGGGCGCCCGCCCGUGUCCCCGUCCCUGUCCCCGUGGCCUGCGCAGCUCCCGGAUCUGUGCGGGCCAGGCCGAUUGGGACCGCAGGGCAGGAGCCCGGGCACCGCUUACCGGAGGACAACGUUGCAUGCCUGCGCGGUGGCCGCUGACCAAGGCCUGCUGGCCCCGCUCCCCAACAUCGUUCCCGCUCACGUCCAGGUGCCUCAGCUCCAGGUUGGUGCCCGGCACAGCCGGCCAGGGCAAGGCAGCCAGCAGAGGACAUGCAGGUGGCAGCUGGGGCACGCCAGGGCCUCGCACAGAGUGGCGGCGCCGUCAUCCCCGAGGGUCAUUGAGGCUGAGGUCCAGGCUUUGGAGGCGCGCUGCUCUCUCGAGAGCUGAGGCCACGUCCUGACAGCAAGCCGAGUGAGACCGAGGACUCAUGUGCUGACUCUGUCUUCCACCACUUGAGGAACAGCCAAGAACGUCUUCCUGAAGUGCCAGCACCUUCUCCUGCUUCUCCGGGGAAAGCUCAAAGUGUCAGUGCUUCCUCAGCAGGCAUGGGCGCGUGACCCAGAGGCCCACACCUGCAGACUCCGGCGACUUUUCCUCUCGGAGACACAUCGUCAUCGGCCUCACACUUGCCAUCCUCCUGCCUCAGCCUCCCAGAGUGCUGGGGUCACAGGCGUGCACCACCAUGCCUGGCUCCGUAUUUAAUUCUGUGCUGAACUUCCUCCCGUGACAGCCAAGUGAGACCUCCCCAGGAGGAAGGCAGCGUGACCUGGACACUGACCCUGAGCCCCCGCCCGGCUCUUGUGAUGAGCAGAUGUCGCCGUCCUGCGCAUCUGCAGGGCCCUGGGUGCCUGGGCCCCGCUAACCUGCCUCUUCAGUGGAAAUAACACCCUUUUCCUGACUGCUGUCCCCUGGCACAAGCAUGGCUCCAAUAGGCCUCUGUGGGUCACACGUGUGCCACAGACUAGAACACGAAGCAGGUGUGCUCGGCACUGCUCCCCGCACGCCGAGCCUCAAGGGGAGGCACCUGGGGACUCACACCAGCCUCUGGAGGGGCAGCGCCGCGCUUGCCAGGCUCUCCCAGAUGUGCCUCGCCCCUUCAUCCUUCAGGGCAUUGCCCGCCAGGCUCAGGUGCGUCAGCGUCCGGCUGCUCCCCAGGGAGACGGCCACGCCCGGGCAGGCCAGCUUCAUGAGCCCGCAGCCUCCAGCCUGGGGACAGAGACUCGAGGUGAGCUGCGGACAGGUGGCCGGGUGUGGGGAUGCACGCCUGUGACCCCAGCCCUCUGGGAGGCUGAGGCAGGGGGGAUUGUAAGUUCAAGCCCAGCCUGGGCAAUUUAGCGUCUGGGGGAGAACCUGUCUCAAAAUAAACAAAAAAAGGGCUGAUUGUGUCACACAGCGUGAAGGCCUGCCAGCAGUUCCCUAUACCAAAAAUAUCCCAGCCAACCAAAGGAACAAACAGCCCCGCCCGCCCCUGUGAGACAGGAAAGGGAUGGCCCAGGAGGAGGAGAGGCGCAGAAGCCUGGCCUGCAGUUUAGAGCUAAGGCGGAGGCUGAGGUUGUGGAAAGCGUUCGUCAGGGAUCAGCGUGACGCAAUGAAAACGGGAUCCCGUUCCCACGCCACCGAGUGGAAAAGCGGUCAGAAAGCGGGCUGCGAAGGCUCAGAGGAGCUGUCAGACGCGCUAUGGGUGGACGGAGCCCGGAGGUGCGCAGCCCGGAGGAGCGCGACCUGCAGCACGGCCGCCCUGUGCAGCAACGCCCGCCACAGCACCCGUGUGUGUGUGUAUGCGCGCAGUGUGCGCGUGUAACUGUAAGAGCGGGCAGCAGGGCAAACCCCAGCCUGCAGGGCAGCAGAGAGCUCCCUGCACGUUCACACAAACAUUAACAUGGGCAGCGAAGAGGAGCCGACCGCAGAAGGGAGCAGGAAAAUACUGCUCAGAAAGGAGGGCUCCUUCGUGUGAGCAGUGUGGGGCUUAGCGACUCCUGCUUAAGGAUAAACGUGUGAUGAGGCCAGUGCUAAAAUGCCAGCCUUCCCCGCCUCGGAAUGGCCGCCGUGAGUGUGUCAGCGUGUCACCACUGUGAGCUCAGACGGGCUGGCGAGGUUCUGUUUGGUCCAGGGGCCGCCCCGCCAGCUGGGGCCGCGCCGUCACCCCAGGCUGCCGCCCAGCGGACUCACGCCAACCUCCGGAGCUGCCUCGCAGACACGAAGAUCGCCGCCGACAGCGCCAGGCAGGCUCCACUCAGCGCCAGGGUCUGCAGGUGUGCGCUGUCUUGAAGGUCGCGGGCCAGGAGGACCCACUCUCGAGGGGGGGCCACGCAGGACACCAGCCUGGGGGGGAUGCAGGACACCCACGCAUGCGCACGCCGAGCCUGGGCUGGGGUCACGGCCCUUGGGGGGCGCCUCGGGGGUCCCGACUCCCCCAGCCGUAUGCCUGUGCCAGGCGCGGCCACGCGCACACUGGGCCGCAACCCCUGGACAGGACGAGGCGGCUCCGGCCCUGGAAACAGCUUCCCUCCGGCGCCUUUGCCGGACAAGCACGCGGGAGAGGAGGCGAUGCAGCCACGGGGCUGACUCCGAGUCCCGAAGCUCCUUCGGGCAAAGCCAGGCCUCGCGCUGAGCCGUCCUGGCCCGCUCAGGCUGCUGGGUGGUGCUGGGUGCUGCGACCCUCUGACUCCUCCCUCGCCAGCUCCUCCUGGCUGGGUUCAGCUGCCCGUGGAGGUCACGACCCUGACAUCGUGUUUCCACCUUGUGGAUCCAGGAGACGUCAGCAGCUUCAGGGCAUAGACCAGCAGCGGGCAGGGGCUAAGCUGACACUGUACAGGCUGUGAGGUGUGUGUGUGUGAGUGU